This 1277-nucleotide ribosomal RNA is filed under the name Acinetobacter baumannii. Its description in RNAcentral is "bacterial LSU rRNA". It matches the Rfam family "Bacterial large subunit ribosomal RNA", at positions 1555 to 2813 of the family's 2925-position model. The record is from RNAcentral. Lineage: Bacteria; Pseudomonadati; Pseudomonadota; Gammaproteobacteria; Moraxellales; Moraxellaceae.
GCUGAGAUCUGAUAGCAAGCUGUACUUGUACAGCGAAGUGGUUGAUGCCAUGCUUCCAGGAAAAGUCUCUAAGCUUCAGUUACACAGGAAUCGUACCCGAAACCGACACAGGUGGUCAGGUCGAGUAGACCAAGGCGCUUGAGAGAACUCUGCUGAAGGAACUAGGCAAAAUGGUACCGUAACUUCGGGAGAAGGUACGCUGUUGUUGGUGAUGGAACUCGCUUCCUGAGCUGACGACAGCCGCAGAAACCAGGCCGCUGCAACUGUUUAUUAAAAACAUAGCACUCUGCAAACACGAAAGUGGACGUAUAGGGUGUGAUGCCUGCCCGGUGCUGGAAGGUUAAUUGAUGGGGUUAGCGUAAGCGAAGCUCUUGAUCGAAGCCCCAGUAAACGGCGGCCGUAACUAUAACGGUCCUAAGGUAGCGAAAUUCCUUGUCGGGUAAGUUCCGACCUGCACGAAUGGCAUAAUGAUGGCGGCGCUGUCUCCAGCAGAGGCUCAGUGAAAUCGAAAUCGCUGUGAAGAUGCAGUGUACCCGCGGCUAGACGGAAAGACCCCGUGAACCUUUACUGCAGCUUGACACUGAACUUUGACCUUACUUGUGUAGGAUAGGUGGGAGGCUUUGAAGCUGGAACGCUAGUUCCAGUGGAGCCGUCCUUGAAAUACCACCCUGGUAAUGUUGAGGUUCUAACUCUGUCCCGUGAUCCGGGACGAGGACCGUGUCUGGUGGGUAGUUUGACUGGGGCGGUCUCCUCCUAAAGAGUAACGGAGGAGUACGAAGGUGCGCUCAGCGUGGUCGGAAAUCACGCGUAGAGUAUAAAGGCAAAAGCGCGCUUAACUGCGAGACCCACAAGUCGAGCAGGUACGAAAGUAGGUCUUAGUGAUCCGGUGGUUCUGUAUGGAAGGGCCAUCGCUCAACGGAUAAAAGGUACUCUGGGGAUAACAGGCUGAUACCGCCCAAGAGUUCAUAUCGACGGCGGUGUUUGGCACCUCGAUGUCGGCUCAUCUCAUCCUGGGGCUGAAGCAGGUCCCAAGGGUAUGGCUGUUCGCCAUUUAAAGAGGUACGCGAGCUGGGUUUAGAACGUCGUGAGACAGUUCGGUCCCUAUCUACCGUGGGCGCUGGAAAUUUGAGAGGAUCUGCUCCUAGUACGAGAGGACCAGAGUGGACGAACCUCUGGUGUACCGGUUGUGACGCCAGUCGCAUCGCCGGGUAGCUAUGUUCGGAAGGGAUAACCGCUGAAAGCAUCUAAGCGGGAAGCCUACCUCAAGAUAAGAUUUC